UGGGGAAUAUUGCACAAUGGGCGAAAGCCUGAUGCAGCGACGCCGCGUGAGGGAUGACGGCCUUCGGGUUGUAAACCUCUUUCAGCAGGGAAGAAGCGAAAGUGACGGUACCUGCAGAAGAAGCGCCGGCUAACUACGUGCCAGCAGCCGCGGUAAUACGUAGGGCGCAAGCGUUGUCCGGAAUUAUUGGGCGUAAAGAGCUCGUAGGCGGUUAGUCGCGUCUGCUGUGAAAACUCGAGGCUCAACCUCGGGCUUGCAGUGGGUACGGGCUGACUAGAGUGCGGUAGGGGUGACUGGAAUUCCUGGUGUAGCGGUGGAAUGCGCAGAUAUCAGGAGGAACACCGAUGGCGAAGGCAGGUCACUGGGCCGCAACUGACGCUGAGGAGCGAAAGCAUGGGGAGCGAACAGGAUUAGAUAGCCCUGGUAGUCCAUGCCGUAAACGUUGGGCACUAGGUGUGGGGUCCAUUCCACGGAUUCCGUGCCGCAGCAAACGCAUUAAGUGCCCCGCCUGGGGAGUACGGCCGCAAGGCUAAAACUUAAAGGAA
This 545-nucleotide ribosomal RNA is filed under the name uncultured bacterium. RNAcentral describes it as "partial 16S ribosomal RNA". It matches the Rfam family "Bacterial small subunit ribosomal RNA", at positions 355 to 909 of the family's 1533-position model. The record is from RNAcentral.